RNAcentral lists this ribosomal RNA (393 nucleotides) under uncultured bacterium. Its description in RNAcentral is "bacterial SSU rRNA". It matches the Rfam family "Bacterial small subunit ribosomal RNA", at positions 355 to 746 of the family's 1533-position model. The record is from RNAcentral.
UAAGGAAUAUUGGUCAAUGGACGCAAGUCUGAACCAGCCAUGCCGCGUGAAGGAUGAAGGUCCUCUGGAUUGUAAACUUCUUUUAUCUGGGACGAAAACGGGAUUUUUAUCUCAAUUGACGGUACCAGAGGAAUAAGCCCCGGCUAACUCCGUGCCAGCAGCCGCGGUAAUCCGGAGGGUGCGCGCGUUAUCCGGAUUUACUGGGUUUAAAGGGUGCGUAGGUGGGCUUAUAAGUCAGUGGUGAAAUCUCCGAGCUUAACUUGGAAACUGCCGUUGNUACUAUAGGUCCUGAAUGAUCGGGAAGUAAGCGGAAUAUGGCAUGUAGCGGUGAAAUGCUUAGAGAUGACAUAGAACACCAAUUGCGAAGGCAGCUUACUACAUAUAAAUGGACGC